AGUCACUGACAUUAGAUACCCCCGUAGUCCAGGGUGUAAACGCUGCAGACUUGGUGUUGGAGGCCCUUUGGGGGCAUUCAGUGCCGGAGAGAAGUUGUUAAGUCUGCUACUUGGGAGUACGUCCGCAAGGAUGAAACUUAAAGGAAUUGGCGGGGGAGCACCGCAACGGGAGGAGCGUGCGGUUUAAUUGGAUUCAACACCGGAAAACUCACCAGGGGAGACUGUUACAUGAAACCCAGACUAAUGAUCUUGGUUGAUUUUCAG
This 264-nucleotide ribosomal RNA is filed under the name uncultured archaeon. Its description in RNAcentral is "partial 16S ribosomal RNA". It matches the Rfam family "Archaeal small subunit ribosomal RNA", at positions 718 to 982 of the family's 1478-position model. The record is from RNAcentral.